GGCCAAGCCAGAAGACCCUUCCCUGCUGGAGGAUCCCAAGAUUAAGGAGAUUGCUGCAAAGCACAAAAAAACCGCAGCCCAGGUUCUGAUCCGUUUCCAUAUCCAGAGGAAUGUGAUUGUCAUCCCCAAGUCUGUGACACCAGCACGCAUUGUUGAGAACAUUCAGGUCUUUGACUUUAAAUUGAGUGAUGAGGAGAUGGCAACCAUACUCAGCUUCAACAGAAACUGGAGGGCCUGUAACGUGUUGCAGUAAGUGGCAUGGAGUUAACUAGAAGCAUUGCCAGGAGUUUUUCUAAACUAAUAGACGAUCCUCUCAUUUGGAAGACUAUCCCUUCGAUGCAGAAUAUUGAGGUUGAAUCUCCUGGUGAGAUUACACAGGGGAUUCUCUUUCUUCGCUGAAGUGUGACUACCUCCACUCAUGUCCCAUUUUAGCCAAGCUUAUUUAAGAUCACAGUGAACUUAGUCCUGUUGUAGACGAGAAUCGAGGUGCUGUUUUAGACAUUUAUUUCUGUAUGUUCAACUAGGAUCAGAAUAUCACAGAGAAGCAUGGCCUGAAUAAGCAAAUGACAAUUUUUUCCACUUAUCUGAUCAGAACAAAUGUUUAUUAAGCAUCAGAAACUCUGCCAACACCGAGGAUGUAAAGAUCAAUAAUAAAAAAUAAUAAUCAUAA
Molecule: small RNA, 670 nt
Filed under: Pan troglodytes (chimpanzee)
Lineage: Eukaryota; Metazoa; Chordata; Mammalia; Primates; Hominidae
Description: processed transcript
Source: RNAcentral